GCUAGGGUGUGCAAGUGAUCACAAGCUAAAUAAUAAUGCUAAAUAAUAAUCUUAUAAUAAUAAAUUAUCUACUCUCUAGGAAUAGAGUGGUUUCGGAGGUUUCUUGCAUGUUGCCAUCUGUCUGUCCAAACUCCAGAGGCAACAUCCCUGGGAAGGGCUACAGCCUUCAAUAAAACUACAGUAGGGGAGUUCUUCGACAAUCUGGCUGUAGUGAUGGACAGGCACACAUUCCCUCCACACAUGAUUUACAAUGUAGAUUAAACCGGCGUCUUUACAGUUCAAAAGCCAUGACAGGUAAGCAACACAUGAUAUACAAGAGAGCACCAUACUGAUAUUGAGUGGAUUGUGAUAAUAACCAGUGAACCUGUGAGCUGGAAAAAUGAAUGGAAUGAAAUUAAAUACAAUGUACUUUUAGACCAAUAGUAACCUACUGAUUGUACAUUUGUCCCUGAUUCUAGACUUUCUAUCUUGAUUCAGGUUGUGACAGAGAAAGGAAAAAAGCAAGUUGGUUCUAUCACAUCAUCUGAGAGGGGAGAACUAGUGACUGUGGUGUGUGCAGUGAAUGCUGCUGGGAAUGCCAUACCUCCUAUGUUUGUCUUCCCCAGAGUUAGGGUUAAGGAUGACUUCCUGAUAGGAGCACUUCCAGGAGCCAAAGGUGCCUCCACCAGAACAGGAUGGAUGAAUGAAGACAAGUUCCGAUUAUGGGUCCAUGUUCUGAGACCCAGACUGUGCAUUAGCUGGUUCUGCUUGUACUUUGCUCUUGACACCCAGAUACUAGCUAAAGGUCCUGUGCUAUGAUUCUCACACUGUGAAUGUUAAUUAAAACAUUUUGAAGUAUA
Molecule: long non-coding RNA, 839 nt
Organism: Xiphophorus hellerii (green swordtail)
Lineage: Eukaryota; Metazoa; Chordata; Actinopteri; Cyprinodontiformes; Poeciliidae
Exons: 2
Source: RefSeq, a predicted model, not a curated record